CCUGCUUAACACAUGCAAGUCGAACGGAAAGGCCCUUUUUUUGUGGGGUGCUCGAGUGGCGAACGGGUGAGUAACACGUGAGUAACCUGCCCUUGACUUUGGGAUAACUUCAGGAAACUGGGGCUAAUACCGGAUAGGAGCUCCUGCUGCAUGGUGGGGGUUGGAAAGUUUCGGCGGUUGGGGAUGGACUCGCGGCUUAUCAGCUUGUUGGUGGGGUAGUGGCUUACCAAGGCUUUGACGGGUAGCCGGCCUGAGAGGGUGACCGGCCACAUUGGGACUGAGAUACGGCCCAGACUCCUACGGGAGGCAGCAGUGGGGAAUAUUGCACAAUGGGCGGAAGCCUGAUGCAGCAACGCCGCGUGCGGGAUGACGGCCUUCGGGUUGUAAACCGCUUUCGCCUGUGACGAAGCGUGAGUGACGGUAAUGGGUAAAGAAGCACCGGCUAACUACGUGCCAGCAGCCGCGGUGAUACGUAGGGUGCGAGCGUUGUCCGGAUUUAUUGGGCGUAAAGGGCUCGUAGGUGGUUGAUCGCGUCGGAAGUGUAAUCUUGGGGCUUAACCCUGAGCGUGCUUUCGAUACGGGUUGACUUGAGGAAGGUAGGGGAGAAUGGAAUUCCUGGUGGAGCGGUGGAAUGCGCAGAUAUCAGGAGGAACACCAGUGGCGAAGGCGGUUCUCUGGGCCUUUCCUGACGCUGAGGAGCGAAAGCGUGGGGAGCGAACAGGCUUAGAUACCCUGGUAGUCCACGCUGUAAACGGUGGGUACUAGGUGUGGGGUCCAUUCCACGGGUUCCGUGCCGUAGCUAACGCUUUAAGUACCCCGCCUGGGGAGUACGGCCGCAAGGCUAAAACUCAAAGGAAUUGACGGGGCCCCGCACAAGCGGCGGAGCAUGCGGAUUAAUUCGAUGCAACGCGUAGAACCUUACCUGGGUUUGACAUGGAUCGGGAGUGCUCAGAGAUGGGUGUGCCUCUUUUGGGGUCGGUUCACAGGUGGUGCAUGGCUGUCGUCAGCUCGUGUCGUGAGAUGUUGGGUUAAGUCCCGCAACGAGCGCAACCCUUGUUCACUGUUGCCAGCACGUUAUGGUGGGGACUCAGUGGAGACCGCCGGGGUCAACUCGGAGGAAGGUGGGGAUGACGUCAAGUCAUCAUGCCCCUUAUGUCCAGGGCUUCACGCAUGCUACAAUGGCUGGUACAGAGAGUGGCGAGCCUGUGAGGGUGAGCGAAUCUCGGAAAGCCGGUCUCAGUUCGGAUUGGGGUCUGCAACUCGACCUCAUGAAGUCGGAGUCGCUAGUAAUCGCAGAUCAGCAACGCUGCGGUGAAUACGUUCCCGGGGCUUGUACACACCGCCCGUCAAGUCAUGAAAGUUGGUAACACCCGAAGCCGGUGGCCUAACCGUUGUGGGGGAGCCGUCGAAGGUGGGACUGGUGAUUAGGACUAA
RNAcentral lists this ribosomal RNA (1434 nucleotides) under uncultured organism. RNAcentral's name for it is "partial small subunit ribosomal RNA". It matches the Rfam family "Bacterial small subunit ribosomal RNA". The record is from RNAcentral.